Molecule: long non-coding RNA, 188 nt
Organism: Sitophilus oryzae (rice weevil)
Lineage: Eukaryota; Metazoa; Arthropoda; Insecta; Coleoptera; Curculionidae
Exons: 3
Source: RefSeq, a predicted model, not a curated record
GCGACGUCCCGCUCUGUGAAGUAUUUUCUCGUUACCAGAGAAAUCACAAUUAACUGUAAUCGUCAUGCUUUAGCAAGUCACCGUUUAUUUUCAAAUCAGUCACAGGCCGUGACUGUGAUUAUAGAAUAUCAGUGACAAAGUCACAGUUACCGAUAUUUCACUCAUCACUAGAAAAUAGUGAAAAUGGA